UAGCUCGCAAAACUUUUUUGC
This is a non-coding RNA of Caenorhabditis elegans, 21 nucleotides long. The record is from Ensembl. Lineage: Eukaryota; Metazoa; Nematoda; Chromadorea; Rhabditida; Rhabditidae.